Molecule: ribosomal RNA, 483 nt
Filed under: uncultured bacterium
Lineage: Bacteria
Description: bacterial SSU rRNA
Rfam family: Bacterial small subunit ribosomal RNA
Source: RNAcentral
AUGAACGCUAGCGGCAGGCCUAAUACAUGCAAGUCGAGCGGCAAGUUGAGUAGUAAUACUUGACCUAGAGCGGCGCACGGGUGCGUAACACGUAUGCAAUCUACCUUUUACAGAGGGAUAGCCCAGAGAAAUUUGGAUUAAUACCUCAUAGUAUGUGAGAAUCGCAUGGUUUUCACAUUAAAGUUCCAACGGUAAAAGAUGAGCAUGCGUCCCAUUAGCUAGAUGGUAAGGUAACGGCUUACCAUGGCGACGAUGGGUAGGGGUCCUGAGAGGGAGAUCCCCCACACUGGUACUGAGACACGGACCAGACUCCUACGGGAGGCAGCAGUGAGGAAUAUUGGACAAUGGGCGCAAGCCUGAUCCAGCCAUGCCGCGUGCAGGAUGACGGUCCUAUGGAUUGUAAACUGCUUUUGUACAGGAAGAAACACUCCCUCGUGAGGGAGCUUGACGGUACUGUAAGAAUAAGGAUCGGCUAACUCCGUG